CAGGAAGCAGGCCAAUGAGACUAAGACGGCUGACUCUUGAGAAAAAGUACCAGGGCCAAAUGCAAAGCCAAAGGCUGGCACUAUCCAGCGGUCACAUGAUGAGUCAACACAAGACCUCACAGACUCAGCAUCGAAGUGAACGCAGACACUCUGGAGCCCCAGGCAAACACACAGGUGGCAGUCUCACUACCGUGAUCAUCUUCACCUGCCUCUUCACUUGUCAUUCAGUUUUCGCUACGAACUCGUGGCAGCAAAGCACAGGAUGGCUCCUAGCAUGGGGUGCUGUCCCGAUCUUGAUUUGGGUGAAGGGACCAACAGUUUGACCGCCCCUUGCUUCUGCCGAUUCAGUGCCAACAGUGACAGCUUCCACAGUUAAGAAACUCAAGUUGCAGUAUGAACAGUCUCCAGUGACAGGAAACUGCUACAAUCUCAAAUUUCCAAUUCAAUGCAACGUCCUCCCAGAAAUUCAAGGGUGAAGGGGAUUCCUGCUGCACAAUCAUCUUCAGCGGCACAACGACCUGAUGGGCAGGCCUUCACAAUUUAAAAGAACAGGUGCAAGAGAUAACUGGGGAUGACACAACGUUCUCUUUUUAAGUUUGCACAUCUCACCCAGAAAUCCCUGCCCAAUCUGCCAUCUUUUGAACCUGCCAUUGCAUCCUUCAAUGUAACUGCCCAUCAGUGGGGAUGCAAGAACUUCAACAAACUCAGUAAUAUCAAACUCUGAAUCAGAGGAACUGGCAAAAGUUCAGAUUAUGAGGUUUAUAAUUGUUAAUCUCUUCAUCUGUUUUGCCCACCCCACCUCACUUCUGGCAACCAGUGUAUGUGGUGACCCUGGAGAGCCUGCUCUUCACUGCUGAAUUAGACCCUCACAUCCUGACUGUGAUCCAGCAGUUCCGGGCCUUGCAGGCCUAAGGAUCAUUUUUUUUCCCCACUUCAUGUCAAGAUUUUCUUUAUAUUCUCAAAAUAAAAUUUUCUGUGGAAGGCUUUUUUUUUUCCUUCUCUGUA
This is a long non-coding RNA of Camelus dromedarius (Arabian camel), 1005 nucleotides long. RefSeq lists it as uncharacterized. The transcript is spliced from 6 exons. The record is from RefSeq and is a predicted model, not a curated record. Lineage: Eukaryota; Metazoa; Chordata; Mammalia; Artiodactyla; Camelidae.